Molecule: ribosomal RNA, 440 nt
Filed under: uncultured bacterium
Lineage: Bacteria
Description: partial 16S ribosomal RNA
Rfam family: Bacterial small subunit ribosomal RNA
Source: RNAcentral
CCUACGGGAGGCAGCAGUAGGGAAUAUUGCACAAUGGGGGAAACCCUGAAGCAGCAACGCCGCGUGGAGGAUGAAGGUUUUCGGAUUGUAAACCCCUUUUGGUAGAGAAGAUAAUGACGGUAUCUAACGAAUAAGCACCGGCCAACUCCGUGCCAGCAGCCGCGGUAAUACGGAGGGUGCAAGCGUUACUCGGAAUCACGGGGCGUAAAGAGCGCGGAGGCGGGAUAGCAAGUCAGAUGUGAAAUCCUAUGGCUUAACCUUAGAACUGCAUUUGAAACUGUUAUUCUAGAGUAUGGGAGAGGUAGGUGGAAUUCUUGGUGUAGCGGUGAAAUCCGUAGAGAUCAGGAGGAAUACUCGUUGCGAAGGCGGCCUGCUGGAACAUAACUGACGCUGAUGCGCGAAAGCGUGGGGAGCAAACAGGAUUAGAUACCCGAGUAGUC